RNAcentral lists this long non-coding RNA (578 nucleotides) under Capsicum annuum. RNAcentral describes it as "long non-coding RNA (CANN_LNC008571)". Lineage: Eukaryota; Viridiplantae; Streptophyta; Magnoliopsida; Solanales; Solanaceae. The record is from RNAcentral.
UCUUUUCUCAUUAUCCUUCUCUCUUCUUCCCCUAUCUCUCCUCCACCACCUCAAAACAUAAACCCUAGCCAGAUAACCUCCAACUAUCCACUACACAACCCAUCCUCCCCGCCAUAAAAAUCUGCCGACUCUAUUGUAACAGCAAAAUUAAAUGCUUUCUUGGUGAGAAAAAAUUCAAAUUUUGUCAAAUACGCCAUUAGGGCUUUGAAAAAGCUUGGAAAAUCUGGAAGUUUUCUCGAUUCUCGCAUUUUCUAUAAAUUUUUGACUUUAAAUCUGGACUUUGUAGUUCGAAGUUAGAUUAUAAAAAGGGGCAAAAGAGAUGAAGAAAGGGAAAAAAAGAAGAGAGAGAAAAAAAUUAAGGAAAAAACAACGGAAAAAGGAAAGACAGGAGAGAAAAGCAAGAAAGGAAAGAAAAAAAGGUAGAAAAAAUGAGUAGAAAAGGUACGGAGUCAUUUUUUUGCUUUAAUUCCAUCUCUCUUCUGUUUUCUCAUUUGGAUUUGUAAGUGUGUUGUUUAGUUUCAAUUCAAUCAAAUUUCAUGUUGAUGUGGUUGAAAAUAGAUUUGUGCACACGUUCCGGU